Molecule: small RNA, 92 nt
Filed under: Salix viminalis (osier)
Lineage: Eukaryota; Viridiplantae; Streptophyta; Magnoliopsida; Malpighiales; Salicaceae
Source: RNAcentral
GAAACUACGAAGGUAAACCUCAAUUAUUUCAUCCGAUUUCCUUCAGAUUACUUCCGGUGUUCAUCAAAUCAAUCUGUUAAACGAUAUGAUUC